UAAAAGAAGGGCUCAAGGUAAUUGGUGUCAGAUGACUUAACAUUACUAAUCAAUAUUGCAGGUUGCUUCAGCCACAGGACAAGGAUCUGUUCGCUGCUUUCCCCUUGUUUUUUGCAAUUGGUAAGUCUUAUGCUUCCUUCAACCUGAUGUUGAGUAAUCGUGUUUAUACUCUUGUGUAGGAUAUAGCCCAACAGGCUGUAUCUUGUAAGGAGUAUGAUUUCAUUGGAGUCUACUAGGAAUGUGCACAAGGCUUUUUGAAACUCUUACAGCUAUGAUAUUUUGUUUGAUAUUGGUUGAAUAUGUAGUUCAUUUAUGGGGUUAAAAUACCCGUUGAAA
This 336-nucleotide unclassified non-coding RNA is filed under the name Hevea brasiliensis (rubber tree). The record is from RNAcentral. Lineage: Eukaryota; Viridiplantae; Streptophyta; Magnoliopsida; Malpighiales; Euphorbiaceae.